CUAGCGACUUCAGAGUUUGAUCCUGGCUCAGAACGAACGCUGGCGGCAGGCUUAACACAUGCAAGUCGAGCGCCCCGCAAGGGGAGCGGCAGACGGGUGAGUAACGCGUGGGAAUCUACCGUGCCCUAUGGAAUAGCUCCGGGAAACUGGAAUUAAUACCAUAUACGCCCUUUGGGGGAAAGAUUUAUCGGGGUAUGAUGAGCCCGCGUUGGAUUAGCUAGUUGGUGGGGUAAAGGCCUACCAAGGCGACGAUCCAUAGCUGGUCUGAGAGGAUGAUCAGCCACAUUGGGACUGAGACACGGCCCAA
This 307-nucleotide ribosomal RNA is filed under the name uncultured bacterium. Its description in RNAcentral is "partial 16S ribosomal RNA". It matches the Rfam family "Bacterial small subunit ribosomal RNA", at positions 1 to 334 of the family's 1533-position model. The record is from RNAcentral.